Molecule: transfer RNA, 65 nt
Filed under: Dipylidium caninum
Lineage: Eukaryota; Metazoa; Platyhelminthes; Cestoda; Cyclophyllidea; Dipylidiidae
Description: tRNA-Leu (UUR)
Source: RNAcentral
GUAAUCAUGUCAGAAUUAUAUGAGUUAGCUUUAAGCGUUAAUUAUGGGUUUUGUCCCUGAUUACU